Molecule: long non-coding RNA, 2410 nt
Organism: Siniperca chuatsi (mandarin fish)
Lineage: Eukaryota; Metazoa; Chordata; Actinopteri; Centrarchiformes; Sinipercidae
Exons: 2
Source: RefSeq, a predicted model, not a curated record
UUAUUUUUAAGUGGUUUAAAAUCUAUGAUGCAAUUUUCUGCGGGACUAUUUUAUUUUGAUCAACCGCUGCGCGUAAAGACGUGGGGCAGGGCAGUGAAGAGGCAGCUGUCCUUGUCAUAUGACCGAGGCCCAGCAGUUAGCAGCAAGAGAGGAAACUCAAAAACAUGCGAUAUUAUUGGCUGUGUAGGUCAACGCUGCUCUAAAUCUGGGCCCAAAGACAUUCAGCAGGUCCUCGGCAAAAUGGGAUAUAUUAGUUCCACGUAACAGAGGAGCACUGAGGCCUAGGUACCUACUAUGUCCUCCUAAGACCUGCCACAUGACUUCUCCCACAAAAGCUCAUCGUCAGUGACAAAUCCAAAGUACUUUACCAGUCUUGAUUAAUGUUGUGGCACUUGUUUUCAUACUACUCUAAAUUAUUGCUUCACCUGUCACUCUGGAUAAAAGCAUUUGUUAAAAAAAAAAAAAAAAAAAAAAGGCUGUAGGACUCACACCAGGCAAUGUGCUUGAUUAGAAGAGAUUACAAUCCUCACGCUGUUAGCUUUCCCAGUAAUGUGCACGGGGAAGGUGUAGGGAGAGGUGAAAGAGAGACAGCAGUCCCCUUUCCCAGGAACUGUUGACAAACGCAACUGAGGAGGUGAAAUUUAACUUGAUAGCUGCUUAGAACUCCUACAAGAGUAAAGUUACUCUAAACAAUGACAGAUAUACAUUUGCUGUUUCAAGCUUUUGGUUUUACUUCAAAACCAUCAUGAGGAAGAGGAGGUAGAGGUGUUGGGAAACAGCAGCUAAUACAGUAUAUGCCGGUAUACUUUGGGCCCGCCAUAGUACAGCUGCCUACCCCUGCACUAGAAUGAGUAAAAUUAAGGAACACAGUCUAAUAUUUAAAUUUUGAAGAAAAAAAACCAAUAGCUGAUAUCUACAUUUAGAAACUUACCUGUAUGCUAUGACUGAGAGGGCUGAAAAAUCACAUUGUUGUGGCGAGUCCACAACAAAAUUCAGUUUAAAAAAUGUAAUAAACACUUUAUCCUUAAAAAGUGACAUUUGCCUACAUUUACUACAACAGGUGUAUAGACUCAGUUGCCAGUUUAAUAGGUACACCUAGCUAUAAGUAAUACACUCUAAUACAAAACAGUCCUGCAAUAAAUCCACCCUUCAUGAAGGUUUUAAUGCUCAGUUAUUGUUGAAACUGCUUUAGAGGUGUUGAUUCAACAGUUUGUGGUGCUGCUGAGCUGUAUUGCUUUAUACAGAGGUGUUUCUGUUAUUUAGCAUGAUAUAAACGGGGUGGACAAAAUAUCAUAAACUCCGUAUAACUCAAUACAAUUCAACAGCACCACAGGCUUCAGCCUCUAAAAUGACCACACAGUUUAAUCAACAUCUCUUUCAAUAUAACCUUCAACCACGAUAGUAGGAUUUUAUUGCAGGACUGUUGUAUUAGAUUAGUUUUAGCUAGGUGUACCUAAUAAACUGGCAGCUGAGUGUGUAUCAACAUAUAUACACAAAAAUUACAUAAGACACAAUAGAGCUCUUAAACCAGCACAAAUGUCGCCAGUUGCCUUCAUUUGUAGUCCAAGAGUGCGUUCAUGUAGAUAGAGUCAGUAAGAGAGACAAUUUCUAAUUUGAUGCCAAAGAGCAUUUUUGGAAAAGCCUGAACCCAAAAUUACAUUUUGUAUGUCUCUGGAGCAGGAACAUUAAGUGGACCAAUGCAGUUUCCUGUCACACCACAUGAUGGCAGCAGAUUAUUAGUAAAAAAAUGUUUUGCCUCAAGCAGAAACUGUGUGAAUAGAUUUGAGCUCUUUCCCACCCCAGCAAAGUUGGUUAGUUGACAAGCUGCUAAAUGUUAUGCCUCAAGUAUGACAAAGAUUACAGUAUGAAUCGCAUUAAAAGAAAAACAAGCUGCAUAGUAACUGGUCGAUACUGACAACUGUUUUAUUAGUAACACAGACCUGGAGACAGUCAAUAAGAAGCCGCUGUGAGCCUUGACAAGGAUGACAUUGUUCAGAAGGCAUUUAAAGACGGAGGGUCUAAUAGUUGAACCCAUACAGUAAGCGGAGCGGGUAAAAACUGAAAGGGGGAGGUUGCAAAUUUGAAUCAAAUACAAAACCAACUGCAACAAAAACAGAAGGGGAAAAAUUAAGUGCAAUUCCUAUUAGAUGAAAUCAGGAUGGCAUCAAAUGGCAAAAGGGGGAGAGCGAAAUGUCAUGGUAUGCAGAAGUCAUGUCAUCAUAUAUUAUAACAGAUAAACAAUCAUAUGGAAAGGCGGCACGGCAGUCCACAUAUCGUUACAAGCCAUUCUUUUUUUCUCACAACUUUACAGUCGUCUUUAUCACUGAGUCCCAUGAGGAGCUUUGGGGAAAGAGUGAUGGUUAUGGCUGAAAAAAAAAAAUCAGGCUGCUUGGCUAUUUGUCCAGAAAAA